RNAcentral lists this ribosomal RNA (440 nucleotides) under uncultured bacterium. RNAcentral describes it as "partial 16S ribosomal RNA". It matches the Rfam family "Bacterial small subunit ribosomal RNA", at positions 339 to 795 of the family's 1533-position model. The record is from RNAcentral.
CUACGGGUCGCUGCAGUGAGGAAUAUUGCACAAUGGGGGGAACCCUGAUGCAGCAACGCCGCGUGGAGGAUGACGCAUUUCGGUGUGUAAACUCCUUUUAUAUGUCAAGAAAAUGACGGUAGCAUAUGAAUAAGCACCGGCUAACUCCGUGCCAGCAGCCGCGGUAAUACGGAGGGGUGCAAGCGUUACUCGGAAUCACUGGGCGUAAAGGACGCGUAGGCGGGUUGGAAAGUCAGGUGUGAAAUCCUACAGCUUAACUGUAGAACUGCACUUGAAACUUCUAAUCUAGAGUAUGGGAGGGGGAGAUGGAAUUAGUGGUGUAGGGGUAAAAUCCGUAGAUAUCACUAGGAAUACCUAAAGCGAAGGCGAUCUCCUGGAACAUUACUGACGCUAAGGCGUGAAAGCGUGGGGAGCAAACAGGAUUAGAUACCCCGGUAGUC